UGCCAGCAGCCGCGGUAAUACGGAGGAUGCAAGCGUUAUCCGGACUGAUUGGGUGUAAAGCAUCUGUAGGCGGUUUUGGAAGUCUACGGUUAAAUCCCAGAGCUUAACUUUGGUUCAGCCGUAGAGUACUUCAAAGCUUGAGUAUGGUAGGGGUAGAGGGAACUUCUCGUGGAGCGGUGAAAUGCACAGAGAUGAGAAGGAACACCAGUGGCGAAAGCGCUCUACUGGGCCAUGACUGACGCUGAGAGAUGACAGCUGAGGGAGCGAAUAGGAUUAGAUACCCUAGUAGUCUCAGCCGUAAACGAUGAAUACUAGAUGUUGCCACAAGCAGUGUCGAAGCUAACGCGUUAAGUAUCCCACCUGGGGAGUACGUACGCAAGUAUGAAACUCAAAGGAAUUGACGGGAAUUGACACAAGUGGUGGAUUA
This 427-nucleotide ribosomal RNA is filed under the name uncultured cyanobacterium. RNAcentral describes it as "bacterial SSU rRNA". It matches the Rfam family "Bacterial small subunit ribosomal RNA", at positions 506 to 939 of the family's 1533-position model. The record is from RNAcentral. Lineage: Bacteria; Bacillati; Cyanobacteriota.